Molecule: ribosomal RNA, 253 nt
Filed under: uncultured bacterium
Lineage: Bacteria
Description: partial 16S ribosomal RNA
Rfam family: Bacterial small subunit ribosomal RNA
Source: RNAcentral
UACGUAGGGUGCGAGCGUUGUCCGGAAUUACUGGGCGUAAAGAGCUCGUAGGUGGUUUGUCGCGUUGUUCGUGAAAACUCACAACUCAAUUGUGGGCGUGCGGGCGAUACGGGCAGACUGGAGUACUGCAGGGGAGACUGGAAUUCCUGGUGUAGCGGUGGAAUGCGCAGAUAUCAGGAGGAACACCGGUGGCGAAGGCGGGUCUCUGGGCAGUAACUGACGCUGAGGCACGAAAGCGUGGGGAGCAAACAGG